Molecule: microRNA, 21 nt
Filed under: Schmidtea mediterranea
Lineage: Eukaryota; Metazoa; Platyhelminthes; Tricladida; Dugesiidae
Description: sme-miR-31a-3p
Gene: sme-miR-31a-3p
Source: miRBase by way of RNAcentral
CAGUUACGUUAGCACUUACCA